RNAcentral lists this ribosomal RNA (1121 nucleotides) under uncultured archaeon. RNAcentral's name for it is "bacterial SSU rRNA". It matches the Rfam family "Archaeal small subunit ribosomal RNA", at positions 326 to 1448 of the family's 1478-position model. The record is from RNAcentral.
UGGGGCGCAGCAGGCGAGAAAACUUUGCAAUGUGCGAAAGCACGACAAGGUUAAUCCGAGUGGUCUCUGCUAAAGGAACCUUUUGUCAGUCCUAGAAACACUAACGAAUAAGGGGUGGGCAAGUUCUGGUGUCAGCCGCCGCGGUAAAACCAGCACCUCAAGUGGUCAGGAUGAUUAUUGGGCCUAAAGCAUCCGUAGCCGGCUCUGUAAGUUUUCGGUUAAAUCUGUACGCUCAACGUACAGGCUGCCGGGAAUACUGCAGAGCUAGGGAGUGGGAGAGGUAGACGGUACUCGGUAGGAAGGGGUAAAAUCCUUUGAUCUAUUGAUGACCACCUGUGGCGAAGGCGGUCUACCAGAACACGUCCGACGGUGAGGGAUGAAAGCUGGGGGAGCAAACCGGAUUAGAUACCCGGGUAGUCCCAGCUGUAAACUAUGCAAACUCAGUGAUGCAUUGGCUUGUGGCCAAUGCAGUGCUGCAGGGAAGCCGUUAAGUUUGCCGCCUGGGAAGUACGUACGCAAGUAUGAAACUUAAAGGAAUUGGCGGGGGAGCACCACAAGGGGUGAAGCCUGCGGUUCAAUUGGAGUCAACGCCAGAAAUCUUACCCGGAGAGACAGCAGAAUGAAGGUCAAGCUGAAGACUUUACCAGACAAGCUGAGAGGUGGUGCAUGGCCGUCGCCAGCUCGUGCCGUGAGAUGUCCUGUUAAGUCAGGUAACGAGCGAGAUCCCUGCCUCUAGUUGCCACCAUUACUCUCAGGAGUAGUGGGGCGAAUUAGCGGGACCGCCGCAGUUAAUGCGGAGGAAGGAAGGGGCCACGGCAGGUCAGUAUGCCCCGAAACUCUGGGGCCACACGCGGGCUGCAAUGGUAAUGACAAUGGGUUCCAAAUCCGAAAGGAGGAGGUAAUCCUCAAACAUUACCACAGUUAUGACUGAGGGCUGCAACUCGCCCCCACGAAUAUGGAAUCCCUAGUAACUGCGUGUCAUUAUCGCGCGGUGAAUACGUCCCUGCUCCUUGCACACACCGCCCGUCGUUUCAUUGAAGUGAGCUUUUAGCGAGGUGACGUCUGAUUGGCGUUAUCGAACUUGAGGUUCGUGACAAGGGAAAAGUCGUAACAAGGUAACC